RNAcentral lists this ribosomal RNA (232 nucleotides) under uncultured Enterobacterales bacterium. RNAcentral's name for it is "partial 16S ribosomal RNA". It matches the Rfam family "Bacterial small subunit ribosomal RNA", at positions 99 to 334 of the family's 1533-position model. Lineage: Bacteria; Pseudomonadati; Pseudomonadota; Gammaproteobacteria; Enterobacterales. The record is from RNAcentral.
CGGACGGGUGAGUAAUGUCUGGGAAACUGCCUGAUGGAGGGGGAUAACUACUGGAAACGGUAGCUAAUACCGCAUAACGUCGCAAGACCAAAGAGGGGGACCCUCGGGCCUCUUGCCAUCGGAUGUGCCCAGAUGGGAUUAGCUUGUUGGUGGGGUAACGGCUCACCAAGGCGACGAUCCCUAGCUGGUCUGAGAGGAUGACCAGCCACACUGGAACUGAGACACGGUCCAG